Molecule: ribosomal RNA, 995 nt
Filed under: Bacillus sp. (in: firmicutes)
Lineage: Bacteria; Bacillati; Bacillota; Bacilli; Caryophanales; Bacillaceae
Description: bacterial SSU rRNA
Rfam family: Bacterial small subunit ribosomal RNA
Source: RNAcentral
UGCAGUCGAGCGGACAGAAGGGAGCUUGCUCCCGGAUGUUAGCGGCGGACGGGUGAGUAACACGUGGGUAACCUGCCUGUAAGACUGGGAUAACUCCGGGAAACCGGAGCUAAUACCGGAUAGUUCCUUGAACCGCAUGGUUCAAGGAUGAAAGACGGUUUCGGCUGUCACUUACAGAUGGACCCGCGGCGCAUUAGCUAGUUGGUGGGGUAAUGGCUCACCAAGGCGACGAUGCGUAGCCGACCUGAGAGGGUGAUCGGCCACACUGGGACUGAGACACGGCCCAGACUCCUACGGGAGGCAGCAGUAGGGAAUCUUCCGCAAUGGACGAAAGUCUGACGGAGCAACGCCGCGUGAGUGAUGAAGGUUUUCGGAUCGUAAAGCUCUGUUGUUAGGGAAGAACAAGUGCGAGAGUAACUGCUCGCACCUUGACGGUACCUAACCAGAAAGCCACGGCUAACUACGUGCCAGCAGCCGCGGUAAUACGUAGGUGGCAAGCGUUGUCCGGAAUUAUUGGGCGUAAAGGGCUCGCAGGCGGUUUCUUAAGUCUGAUGUGAAAGCCCCCGGCUCAACCGGGGAGGGUCAUUGGAAACUGGGAAACUUGAGUGCAGAAGAGGAGAGUGGAAUUCCACGUGUAGCGGUGAAAUGCGUAGAGAUGUGGAGGAACACCAGUGGCGAAGGCGACUCUCUGGUCUGUAACUGACGCUGAGGAGCGAAAGCGUGGGGAGCGAACAGGAUUAGAUACCCUGGUAGUCCACGCCGUAAACGAUGAGUGCUAAGUGUUAAGGGGGUUUCCGCCCCUUAGUGCUGCAGCUAACGCAUUAAGCACUCCGCCUGGGGGAGUACGGUCGCAAGACUGAAACUCAAAGGAAUUGACGGGGGCCCGCACAAGCGGUGGAGCCAGGUGGUUUAAUUCGAAGCAACGCGAAGAACCUUACCAGGUCUUGACAUCCUCUGACAACCCUAGAAGAUAGGGCUUUCCCUUCGGGGACAGA